UUUCCGUAGGUGAACCUGCGGAAGGAUCAUUAAUUAAAUUAAGGCAUAUUCAUGUCUUUAAUUAAACCCACCUUUUACUGUGAAAUGUUUGAAAUGAUUCAGGUUUGAGGGAUGCUCUUGGCUCAUAGAGGGUAGAGACAAGAGAUGUUAACCAAACUGAAGUCAGGCUUAGGCCUGGUAUCCUCUACAUUUAUUAUAUACCUUGAAUUCAGAAUUAAAAAAUCGUAACAUGAGCCUUAAUAAGCUUAUAAAACAAAUUUUAACAACGGAUCUCUUGGUUCUCGCAUCGAUGAAGAACGCAGC
This 303-nucleotide unclassified non-coding RNA is filed under the name uncultured fungus. Its description in RNAcentral is "sequence contains ITS1, 5.8S rRNA gene". The stretch from base 255 to 303 matches the Rfam family "5.8S ribosomal RNA", at positions 1 to 49 of the family's 154-position model. Lineage: Eukaryota; Fungi. The record is from RNAcentral.